This 248-nucleotide ribosomal RNA is filed under the name uncultured bacterium. RNAcentral describes it as "partial 16S ribosomal RNA". It matches the Rfam family "Bacterial small subunit ribosomal RNA", at positions 15 to 245 of the family's 1533-position model. The record is from RNAcentral.
GAUCCGGGCUCAGGAUGAACGCUGGCGGCGUGCUUAACACAUGCAAGUCGAACGAAGCACUUUAACCUGAUUCUUCGGAUGAAGGUUUUUGUGACUGAGUGGCGGACGGGUGAGUAACGCGUGGGUAACCUGCCUCAUACAGGGGGAUAACAGUUAGAAAUGACUGCUAAUACCGCAUAAGACCACGGAGCCGCAUGGCUCAGUGGGAAAAACUCCGGUGGUAUGAGAUGGACCCGCGUCUGAUUAGG